This 341-nucleotide unclassified non-coding RNA is filed under the name soil metagenome. RNAcentral's name for it is "partial contains 5.8S ribosomal RNA, internal transcribed spacer 2, and large subunit ribosomal RNA". The stretch from base 1 to 121 matches the Rfam family "5.8S ribosomal RNA", at positions 35 to 154 of the family's 154-position model. The record is from RNAcentral.
GAUGAAGAACGCAGCGAAAUGCGAUAAGUAAUGCGAAUUGCAGAAUUUCCGUGAGUCAUCGAAUCUUUGAACGCACAUUGCGCCCUCGGGUAUUCCCGAGGGCAUGCCUGUCCGAGCGUCAUUAUCCAACCAUCAAGCUCGGCUUGCGGUUGAGCCCCGCACCGUCCCCGGGACGGUGGGCUCGAAACAUGUUGGGCGCCCGUGAGGUUGUCGGUGCAGCGAGCUCUCGAGCACGUGCCGGGCAACCGCUCUGGGCGUCGGCCAGCCCCCCCAUUUUCUCAGGUUGACCUCGGAUCAGGUAGGAAUACCCGCUGAACUUAAGCAUAUCAAUAAGCGGAGGA